RNAcentral lists this microRNA (24 nucleotides) under Carica papaya (papaya). Its description in RNAcentral is "cpa-miR8148". Lineage: Eukaryota; Viridiplantae; Streptophyta; Magnoliopsida; Brassicales; Caricaceae. The record is from miRBase by way of RNAcentral.
UGACUGGGUCUGCUGACGUGGCAU